RNAcentral lists this ribosomal RNA (489 nucleotides) under uncultured bacterium. Its description in RNAcentral is "partial 16S ribosomal RNA". It matches the Rfam family "Bacterial small subunit ribosomal RNA", at positions 30 to 507 of the family's 1533-position model. The record is from RNAcentral.
UUGAACGCUGGCGGCAGGCCUAACACAUGCAAGUCGAACGGUAACAGGAAGCAGCUUGCUGCUUUGCUGACGAGUGGCGGACGGGUGAGUAAUGUCUGGUAAACUGCCUGAUGGAGGGGGAUAACUACUGGAAACGGUAGCUAAUACCGCAUAAUGUCGCAAGCCCAAAGCGGGGGACCUUCGGGCCUCUUGCCAUCUGAUGUGCCCAGAUGGGAUUAGCUAGUAGGUGGGGUAAAGGCUCACCUAGGCGACGAUCCCUAGCUGGUCCGAGAGGAUGACCAGCCACACUGGAACUGAGACACGGUCCAGACUCCUACGGGAGGCAGCAGUGGGGAAUAUUGCACAAUGGGCGCAAGCCUGAUGCAGCCAUGCCGCGUGUAUGAAGAAGGCCUUCGGGUUGUAAAGUACUUUCAGCGGGGAGGAAGGGAGUAAAGUUAAUACCUUUGCUCAUUGACGUUACCCGCAGAAGAAGCACCGGCUAACUCCGUG